RNAcentral lists this long non-coding RNA (1557 nucleotides) under Drosophila guanche. The record is from RNAcentral. Lineage: Eukaryota; Metazoa; Arthropoda; Insecta; Diptera; Drosophilidae.
CACAGCAUCCCCGCUGACGCCCGGAAACGUAAUAAUAAACGGAGAUUGCCGUAGUUGCAAUGUGCACGGGGGCUAACGUAGAGAAGAUCGUGGUGAUGCAGUGGCUAUACUGGCCAAGAGAAUAGAUAAAUAAACUGCACCAGAAAUGUAUUUCGUUCAUUUUAUUUUAUUUUUGAAUGUUUAUUGAAUGUUAUUGCCAUUUACCUAGGACCUAGUCGCCUCGUAUGUUGCAAACUUUGCAGUCCCCGUUGAUGAUCACGUUGCCAGGACUCAGGGGGUUGGCUAGAAACAAAAAAAUAACCUAUGUUAGUGGAGACUUGCCUCUUGACUUUAGAGCAGAGUCUCCAACUCACCACUAGCCAGGGCACAAAGGCCCAGAACGAAAGCAAUCGACAGCCACUUCAUGAUUUAAAUGAUUUGGGUACUUGGCAGCAGCUAAUCUGUCGACCGGCUCGAGCAGGUCUCUUUUCUAACCUCAUCUGGUGCUACAGCAAUUGCGCAUUUUCGAUUCAUGUAUUUAGUUAGUGCAAUCUAAGCUGUAGCUGAGGCCAUUGCGUCUUGAUUUGAUUCUGAUUAUAUUUGAUUAUUCGCUGCCGGAGAACCCGAAACGAUCUGUUGAACAUAUUGAAACUGUUCAUAUGCAUUUGCUACACUGUGCUGCAAGUAUUUAUUAGAAUUUGAACAGAACAUGCAGCUGAUACCUGAUACAUGGAACUGUCUAAGAGGUAAUUAAAAAGCUAGAGCCGCCUGCCCACGCUACUUUAAAUAUAUAAAUAUAUACAUUCACACAUGUGUACGUACAUACAUAUAAUGUGUAUACUUAUAUUUGAGUACUCAUCAGAGACAGGGAAACCAAAUCCCUAAGCUCCUGCAACUGCAUAAAGUAAAGCUUAAAAUGGCUUUGCCCCUUUCCAAAUAAACAUUGACUAUUUACGAAAGUUGAGUUUGUUUAAGUUUCGAAACUCCUGGAAGGACUCUCUCUGAGAGCUCAAACUGAACUGGUUCAAUGGUAUGUGCGUUCGACUCCGCAGAAGGCACACACUCGUAAAUGAACGUGUCUGCGGUUGAAUUAACUUUUCCCCCAAAAGUUCCUGUCUGUACGAGUGGGUUGGCGCACAUUGUUGGCAAUUAAGCGAAUGAUUCACAAAAAGGGCAGCACCGAGGCCGAGGCUUCUGAUACUCUAGCAGGUCUAUAUCUAUCCGAAAUAUUCUUAUCCUUAUCCUUUGCGAUGUUAGUUUGCAAAAAAUAUGUUUACCCAAUUCAAUAGCAUAAAACAACGAACCAAGGGCACCAUGUAAAAAGCAUUUUGAGUGGUGUGGGUGGGUUUUGGGGAGAUUGCUACAGAGUCAGAUUGGGACACCGAAAGGGUUUAACUCUCUCAUCCAGCUCGAAGCUCCAGUACCAGCUCCAGCACCAGCUCCAGCACCAGCUCCAGCACCAGCUCCAGCUGGAUUACCGAACUGUGCAUUUGUGUGCGAGGGAGAGCGGCUUAUGCUGCACAAGCGUGUUGUUUCUUUGGGAACAUUCGUGAGCGUAAAAAGCAUUACGGUUAAAUG